Molecule: ribosomal RNA, 846 nt
Filed under: uncultured Aquiluna sp.
Lineage: Bacteria; Bacillati; Actinomycetota; Actinomycetes; Micrococcales; Microbacteriaceae
Description: bacterial SSU rRNA
Rfam family: Bacterial small subunit ribosomal RNA
Source: RNAcentral
UGCUUANACAUGCAAGUCAUACGGGAGUUUUUAACUCAAGUGGCGGACGGGUGAGUAACGCGUGAGAAUUUGCCUUUAGGAGGGGGAUAACAACUGGAAACGGUUGCUAAUACCCCAUAUGCUUCCGAGUGAAAUGGAGUAAUCCGCCUAAAGAGAAGCUCGCGUCUGAUCAGCUUGUUGGUGAGGUAACGGCUCACCAAGGCGACGACGGGUAACCGGCCUGAGAGGGUGACCGGUCACACUGGGACUGAGACACGGCCCAGACUCCUACGGGAGGCAGCAGUGGGGAAUAUUGCACAAUGGGCGCAAGCCUGAUGCAGCAACGCCGCGUGAGGGAUGAAGGCCUUCGGGUUGUAAACUUCUUUUAGCAGGGAAGAAGCGAAAGUGACGGUACCUGCAGAAAAAGCACCGGCUAACUACGUGCCAGCAGCCGCGGUAAUACGUAGGGUGCAAGCGUUGUCCGGAAUUAUUGGGCGUAAAGAGCUCGUAGGCGGUUUGUCACGUCUGCUGUGAAAAUCCAAGGCUCAACCUUGGACUUGCAGUGGGUACGGGCAGGCUAGAGUGCGGUAGGGGAGAUGGGAAUUCCUGGUGUAGCGGUGGAAUGCGCAGAUAUCAGGAGGAACACCAAUGGCGAAGGCACAUCUCUGGGCCGUAACUGACGCUGAGGAGCGAAAGCGUGGGGAGCAAACAGGAUUAGAUANNCUGGUAGUCCACGCCGUAAACGGUGGGUGCUAGCUGUGGGCCACAUUCCACGUGGUCCGUAACGAAGUUAACACAUUAAGCACCCCGCCUGGGGAGUACGGCCGCAAGGCUAAAACUCAAAUGAAUUGACGGAAGGGCGAAUUC